This 253-nucleotide ribosomal RNA is filed under the name uncultured bacterium. RNAcentral's name for it is "partial 16S ribosomal RNA". It matches the Rfam family "Bacterial small subunit ribosomal RNA", at positions 524 to 776 of the family's 1533-position model. The record is from RNAcentral.
UACGGAGGGUGCAAGCGUUAUCCGGAUUCACUGGGUUUAAAGGGUGCGUAGGCGGGUUGGUAAGUCCGUGGUGAAAUCCCCAAGCUUAACUUGGGAACUGCCGUGGAUACUAUCAAUCUUGAAUAUCGUGGAGGUAAGCGGAAUAUGUCAUGUAGCGGUGAAAUGCUUAGAUAUGACAUAGAACACCAAUUGCGUAGGCAGCUUACUACACGAUCAUUGACGCUGAGGCACGAAGGCGUGGGGAGCAAACAGG